Molecule: ribosomal RNA, 494 nt
Filed under: uncultured bacterium
Lineage: Bacteria
Description: bacterial SSU rRNA
Rfam family: Bacterial small subunit ribosomal RNA
Source: RNAcentral
GAUGAACGCUGGCGGCAUGCCUAAUACAUGCAAGUCGAACGAGAGGAAGGAAAGCUUGCUUUCCUGAAUCUAGUGGCGAACGGGUGAGUAACACGUAGGUAACCUGCCCAUGUGCCCGGGAUAACUUCUGGAAACGGAUGCUAAAACCGGAUAGGUAGCAGACAAGCAUUUGACUGCUAUUAAAGUGGCCUUGGCCAUGAACAUGGAUGGACCUGCGGUGCAUUAGCUGGUUGGUGAGGUAACGGCCCACCAAGGCGACGAUGCAUAGCCGGCCUGAGAGGGCGGACGGCCACAUUGGGACUGAGACACGGCCCAAACUCCUACGGGAGGCAGCAGUAGGGAAUUUUCGUCAAUGGGGGGAACCCUGAACGAGCAAUGCCGCGUGAGUGAGGAAGGUCUUCGGAUCGUAAAGCUCUGUUGUAAGAGAAAAACGGCACUCAUAGGGAAUGAUGAGUGAGUGAUGGUAUCUUACCAGAAAGUCACGGCUAACUACG